UACAGAGGGUGCAAACGUUGUUCGGAAUUACUGGGCAUAAAGCGUACGUAGGCUGUUGCGUAAGUGUGAAGUGAAAUCCCACGGCUCACCCGUGGAACUGCUUUGCAAACUGCGUGACUAGAGGAUGGUAGGGGACAGCGGAACUCCUGGUGGAGCGGUGAAAUGCGUAGAUAUCAGGAGGAACACCGGUGGCGAAGGCGGCUGUCUGGUCCAUUUCUGACGCUGAGGUACGAAAGCUAGGGUAGCGAACGGG
Molecule: ribosomal RNA, 253 nt
Filed under: uncultured bacterium
Lineage: Bacteria
Description: partial 16S ribosomal RNA
Rfam family: Bacterial small subunit ribosomal RNA
Source: RNAcentral